Molecule: unclassified non-coding RNA, 298 nt
Filed under: Hevea brasiliensis (rubber tree)
Lineage: Eukaryota; Viridiplantae; Streptophyta; Magnoliopsida; Malpighiales; Euphorbiaceae
Source: RNAcentral
ACGGUAGAAAACUGUUCUUUCAAUCGAAACAAUAGGCUGCACUGAAGAAGCAUUGCUUGCACCAAGGAAAAAUACUGCAGCAUACACGGCUCCCAAAAGAUUCAUUAGAUCUUGCUGUUUAGUAGUCUUUUGCCCUUUGUUCCAAAAGAUGAGACCAAACAAAACUCCAAUGACAAUUGUCAAGAAAAAACGGAUGGCAUUAUAUUGAGGGUUUCUCCAGUAAGACCAAUAUUGUUUCCAAAAACAUGCCAUGCACUGAACAAGGAAAGAUUGCGAGUAUUUGGAUGGGAAGUAGAGA